UACCAACUUGAUGAAGCUUGUGGUCUGCCU
RNAcentral lists this non-coding RNA (30 nucleotides) under Mus musculus (house mouse). The record is from RNAcentral. Lineage: Eukaryota; Metazoa; Chordata; Mammalia; Rodentia; Muridae.